Dermacentor albipictus is the source of this 575-nucleotide long non-coding RNA. RefSeq lists it as uncharacterized. Lineage: Eukaryota; Metazoa; Arthropoda; Arachnida; Ixodida; Ixodidae. The record is from RefSeq and is a predicted model, not a curated record.
CCCUCCCUUCUGGGUGCUCGCUGACUGACGGCCCUGCAGACUGCAGGGCCGGGCUUUCCCGGCAGUGACGCUGUCCUUGAGACGGCGGCGCGCAAACGGACGCGGCCGACACGUGUCCAGGUGCGCGGCUCCUAUAAAACAGCGCGCACCGUCCGUUCGACACCAUCGCAGGCCGCAGAUCCCAGCCUGAACACCACCCCCUGAGCAACAGAAGCAGCCAUGAUUGCCGUCAGCAGCAAGUCCCUCCUUGUCGCCCUCGUGGUGCUGGCCGCCCUGUGCAGCCUGGCAGCCGCUCAGUUCGGCUACGGCGGUUACGGCCGCGGCUAUGGUGGUUACGGCCGCGGAUACGGCGGCUAUGGUGGCGGCUAUGGUCGUGGAUAUGGCGGCGGCUAUGGGGGCUACGGCCGGGGCUAUGGUGGCUACGGCCGUGGUUUCUACGGCUAAGCUGCACCUCCCCAAAUGACAACCGCCUGCUGCAGUACGAACAACCACGCCGGUCCUGAAGAUGCCAACAAAUGACGAUUUAGUUACCCGAUCAUACGUCCUUCAUCUAAUAAAUUAAUUCGCUAUCACAA